Molecule: ribosomal RNA, 263 nt
Filed under: uncultured bacterium
Lineage: Bacteria
Description: partial 16S ribosomal RNA
Rfam family: Bacterial small subunit ribosomal RNA
Source: RNAcentral
UACGAGGGGUGCGAGCGUUGCUCGGAAUUGAUUGGGCGUAAAGGGUAGGUAGGUGGUCUCAUUUGUCUGAGGUGAAAGCCUUGAGCUUAACUCAAGAAGUGCCUUAGAAACGGUGGGACUUAGAGUCCUGGAGAGGGUCGUGGAAUUCCCGGUGUAGCGGUGAAAUGCGUAGAGAUCGGGAGGAACACCAGAGGCGAAGGCGACGACCUGGGCAGGCACUGACACUCAACUACGAAAGCAUGGGUAGCAAACAGGAAUUAGAA